Hydractinia symbiolongicarpus is the source of this 4707-nucleotide RNA transcript. RefSeq lists it as uncharacterized. NCBI's taxonomy places the organism in Eukaryota, Metazoa, Cnidaria, Hydrozoa, Anthoathecata, Hydractiniidae. The record is from RefSeq and is a predicted model, not a curated record. The transcript is spliced from 6 exons.
GUUCUCGAUAGUUCAGGUGGUCGACGGGAAAUUCUUCAACGAGCGGGAAUUUCCAAUUGGAAAAGCGAAACAAAACUUAUCCCAGGAAGCAAGUAAUUCUUACUCUUCGCCUGCUCAAUCCAGCUUUACAAAAAAUGGCAUGGGAAAACUGAUUACAUCAUCAUGAUUGUUAAAAAUAAAAUCAAGUCAGUAUUGUAUCACAAGUGAUGCAAUACAGAAAUCUUUGCAUCUUUAAACCAGGUGUGAAUUUCAAUUGUAAAUGGAAUCUCUGAUUGAUACAGUUGGAAUAUUGCAAAUCACUGGCGACGAUGAGCUGCAGUUUAUAAAGAUAUUAGAAAGUGAAUUAAUUAACUACCGUGGAAAUGGAUAUGUGCUUGAAUACAAUGACUUACGGAACAAACAACAAAAGGAAACUAUCAUCUAUAUGAACUUGCGAAAAUUCAAAGAAAGAAAGUUACCACUUAUCGUCCUGAUUAGCAAAUCCUUUCUUGAUGAAAUAUGGUCCACUGCCUACAAGGGAAUUAUUCUUAAAGAUAUAACAAAUUAUGUGUCUCCCUACUGUUUACAUAUCUGGCUUGGAGGACUCACCGAAACUGAAAUUAUAAAGUAUAGCGCGACACUGUGCAGGAUAGAUGGUGCAUUUCGGAGGACAGCUCUAAAAGAUAUAAAGCAGAAUACAUUGGUUGAGAGCAUUCGGUCAUUUCUUUCGGACGUAAAGAAAAAGCCUUGUUAUGAAAAUUUUGCAUUAGACAAGCAACAAGAACGACUUCAAUCCUUUGAUCUGAAUUUGAACAAUUCUCCAUCAAUGUCUAUGGACAACACUUAUGAUGAGCCUUUUUCAAGCUCUGCCUCCAGCUCUUCAAAACAGGUUUUAAGCAAAAGCAACACUAAAAUAUCUGAUGAAAUUACAAGUAAAUCAUCGGUCACCAAUCCUGUAAGUAAGCCGAAACCGAAAAAGAAAAAACAAGAUAGUCAUUACAAGGAGGUGGCCAGUAUGAUGUUACUAGACAAUGAUCUUGAUGAUGUGAAAAGGGAUAAUAUUCCUCCGCCAUCUGCAUUUUCAAGUUUAGAGUCUGCUUCUGAAUCCACAAAAAAUAAGAAAAAGAAAAAGAAAGUCGGGGUUGCCAAAAUGGCAAAUUUAAGUUAUGGCCAUAUUCAUCGUAUUGCUUCAAUGUUGGAUGUUGGAUAUGGGGCUAACUGGAAACAAAUAGCAGCAUAUUAUGGUAUAGAUCAUCUUACUGUAAGCAAUAUAGAAUUGGCUUUAGCCAGGAAUGAAAGUCCAACAGAAAAUUUGUUGCAUUUACUGCGUGUACGGAUUCCUGAUUUAACAAUUUCAGAUUUUGUUGAUAAAUGUGCAAAGGUAUUGCGAAAUGACGUUGUUUUAUAUAUUCAAGAAAAUGUUUUGCCAUAAAAAUAUAUUUUCAUUACCACUUGGCUACUUUUUAGAUGUUACUUUAAACUGGAUCUUUGGUUCUUUUUAUGUUAAAUGAUUAUCAUAUAACAUAUGUCAAUAGCUGGUAUUAAGUUGAGACUUGUAUUAAAAAUGAAUGUGAUUUUGUGUAUAUCUUUGAUUAAUUGUGAUUAAUGUUGGUUUGCAAGUGGUUUAGAUGAACAACAAAUUUUAUGAGAUUAAUAGCAAUGUUAGUGGCUGUUGGAAAGCAAUUAUAAUUUAAUUGAAACAAAACAAGCAUAAAGAAAACGUAAUUUUCUUGCAAUUAUAUAAUGUUCACUAUUGAUCCUUUUAUUGAAUGGUAUGGAGGGAAAAUUCCACCCUAUGGGUGUCAGAAAUUCAAUGAUUGGAACAAAAGUUAUAAAUAUAGGUUAUGACAGUUGCUAACAAAGCAAAGAAAUUAAUUUUUAUUCAUCACAACAUCUAUUGGAUGGAAUUGAUAUGUUGCGUACAAGAUGUUUGCAAUAAAAUGUUAGUGGUAAAUGGAUAAUUAAUAACAGUGAAGAUACAGAAAUUUUUAUAGUUUUGUAUCAGGGACUUAAAAAAAAAUGUUUCAACAACCAAACAAAAUACGUGCAUCCAAGAGGAAAAAAAAGGACAAAUAAAGUUUGAAAUUUGAAUAUUAUUAAUGCAGAUUUUAAUUUCUACUUUCUAUAAAAAAAUUUGUGUUCAGUUUAAACGUGUUGACUGGCGGUAAGUUAUAUUUGUGUUUGUGAUAAAAAAAUAUUUCAUCUUAGUAUUAUUUUUUAAAAAUUUAAAGUUUGUUAUUGGAACUUUUGAAAAUUUAAUUUUUUUUAAGUCUUUUGUUUUAUGUUAUUUUGAUUUAAAAGAAGGCAACUAGUGGUUUGCCAUUUUGGCAAGUUUUGCAAAGGUAUAUACAAAGUAGUAUAUACCAUGAUGUGUGAUUAAAAUUUUUAUGACUAUUGCAUUCAGAGAAAUCAGAAUGUUCUUGGACUGAGAAAUACAUAGUUGCUAAAGGAAAUCUAAAAAUUGGAAGAUAUUUUAUCAGAGUGUGCACACUACAUUGGUAUUGUACUAAACUUUUAUUAGACAAGUCACUGAAUCAAAUAUAUAUUGCAACGAAAUUACACAGUCCAUAGUUUUUGAUUUAAUUUAAAUAAAAUUUCUUCUAUUAUCAAUAUAUUUCUUUUAUCAAUGUUUUUUUUAUUAUAUAACUUUAUUUAUUGUUAAAUAUAUGUACCACAUGAAUUUAUUUGCCUAUAACUGUAUUUUUAUUGUGUUACAUCUUCAUACCAAAUGAUUUAUUUCAAAAUUGAAGAUGAAUUGAGGUAAAAAUUGGUUUAGUUAAACUUUUAUUCCCAUAAAAAUAGAAAUAUUCUAAUUUUAUCAAAUUUUUUUAUUUGUUUCUAAAUCAUUUCUUUCAAAAUAGCUAAAUCUACUCUUAAGCGAUUGUCCAAAACUUGUUUUGUGGAAUGUACAGCAUCGUAAAGUGUUUUACUAUCUGUUAAACAUUGAAUUGAUGCUACAAUAUUGCCUCAAGUAAACGUUAAACCCAAUAUCCUUUGCCAGCAGCAUAUAUCAAUUAGAAAGUGUACUGGUAACUACUCUUUUUACAAUUUUCUUGACUGCCACGAAAUGAGUGAUAGUGAUUGAUUUAGUUGAUCCGUUAAGGAAGUUAAGAAUGCACCUUGAGAUCCUUCUCACUUUAGAUUUGCAAAUGUUGCAUCAAGAAGUACUAGCAAUUUAGCUUUCUCAUGUUUCCAACUACCCUGAAUUUCAUUUCCACAGGUUCUCUUUUUGCAUAUCUGAAACAUUGACAUAUUUGAUGUUACCCAUUAGUUAACUUCAAUUAAGAAGAUAUCUAGACGUGUCUGCGUAGUCAACCAAUUUAAAUUAAAAUCAAUACUUUUCGUUUGGUAUUCGAAAAUUUAUCAUAUCUUUGUUUUUAUCAAUGUUAUGUAUGCAAUUAUCUUGUGACACAAUAAUGUUAUCUUUUCUGUUUCUUAAAUCUAUAAUCCCAAAUAUUAAAAUGCUGUGUUGUGUGCUGUACUAAUUUUAAAAGUUUGAUGCAGUAGCAGUAUGACAUUGUUUAAAAACCAGCGAAACAAAAAUCAUCUACAUGGGUUGUCAUAAUUCCAUGUAGACGCACACCUUUCCGAAGUAAUUCAAGUAUAUCAGAGCCUCUUGUGAUACCUUUUCAGUAAAAUCCCACUCUCAACAUUACCAACUUUAUCAACAAUAUUGAGCCAAUUCCUAAACCUUUCACUUGCUUUUCCAGCUCUUACUUUAUCCUUAAACGUUUGGCAUAAUAAUCUUUGUUGUAUGGUUAUUAGUAAUUGAUGCUUCACUACUUAUCUCAUCACCUUCCAAUAUUUCUCUUUCAGUUUCUUGUUUUUCGUCAUUAUCAAUUUUCACUUCUGUGCUUUGAAUUUCUCCUCUUUUAAUCGUAGUGUGCAUGGAUACAUUCUAACAUAUGUUGAGCUGUGCUUCACCAGGACUUGCUGACUUUCCUGUCAAACUUGUUGACUUUCCUGAAGGCUUCUCUUUCAGCAUGCAAUGCAUUUAAGUUAUCAGUAACUACAUGACUCCUUUCCUUCCUUCUAGAGCUGGUGGAUUAUGCAUUUCUACAACUGGAAAAUAUGGAUUGCUGCCAAAGUUAAUUUGGUAAAAAGCUUUCUACGUUUUUUAAGGAAUCCUUAGCAGCAACAGCCUUAGCCACGGCUGUUUCUGAUGAAUAAUUAGGCUUGUCCAUUAUUUUACAGACUGUAUUGCCAAGUGUGUAUUAUGCCGCUAAACAAGUCCAUUACUCCAUGGUUUGAAUUCUCACACACGCUAUGGUAACCCUCGUCAAAUUCUCCACAAUUAUCCACUUAACACUUUAGCAGACCCAAAUACAGAAAUCCAAUUCUUAAAAAUGGAAUUAAUGUUGAUUUCUUUCCUUCUACUUCGAAUAACACAGGAUGCACUAAUCUGGCCAAGUGAUUAACAAGAUGUAAUAACCAAAUUUUAUCACCAUAUGGUCAUUGUUUCAAAUCCAUGCCAACACAUUAAAUACUGUUGCAUGUGGUAACCAAACAAUUGGUCUUGGUUGAUUUCUUCUUAUGGAUGUAUCACAACUAUCUGAAACUUUAGCAAUUAUGGAUGGAUGUCCAAACUAUUUAUGUAAUUUCAGGGCCACUUUUUGUUUUCCUUGAUUAUCUAUAUUAUAAUGCCCGUAUACGUCUGUCUGUCUGUUACGCAAAAUGGUAACCACAGUAACGAGAUAAACAAAUUGCGGUAUAUAAAGAGCAGGUGAA